RNAcentral lists this long non-coding RNA (3609 nucleotides) under Citrus maxima (pomelo). Its description in RNAcentral is "long non-coding RNA (CMAX_LNC003528)". Lineage: Eukaryota; Viridiplantae; Streptophyta; Magnoliopsida; Sapindales; Rutaceae. The record is from RNAcentral.
UUGUAACAAUAUUAUUCAACUCUAUGCACUAUCAGUGUAUGUGUAAACCUUGCUCAACCCACAAUAGAGAUAAAAUGCAUUACAAAUAAAUAAUUCAUUAGAUUACAUUGCAUGAUGCUAUUUACUCAUCCAUCUGGUAACAACAGCGUGGUGAUUUGUCACAUUCACCUACGUCACAAUUACGUCAACGUGAUUUUAUCAAAUAAGAUUCUACAAACCGAUAACAUUUUGUAGAAAUAACAGCUUAUGUGGUGAUACAUGAUUUUUUGAGGCGACAUAAUUAGGCAGACAACGGAUUUGCAAGCGGCAAGCCGUGAUCCAGCCAUAAAGCUAUCGUAUCACAACCUGAAUCAAGCAGCCAUAAAAUAUGUAGGACUGGCUAUUAACUUGUUCAAAGCACGAGCCCUAACGGAACUAGCUGCAGUCCUACAUUAUUUCAGUCCUCCAGGUUGCAAGUUUGCAAAAGCAUCAUAAUUAACAUGAUCUAUGAACAUAUAGGCAAACGUCAUCUUGAUCUAUGAACAUAUAGGCAAACCUCCACUAGCUCCCAUGUCCAACCCCGCUCCUUCCUGGUUCAAUCAAGAAGCAAAAUGUUGUUUAUACAUAAGAGGCACAACAAAAAUCGUAUAAAGACACGCGAAAAUGUGAAUAAGAUCACAACAAAGUCAAGGCAUAACAAGCUAAUAACUGAAUUACACUGAAACUGGUCACUUGCAACAUAUAAAAAAACAGUGGCUAACCCAAAUAAAAGGAGUACAGUAUAUUUGUCUAGAUCUCUAUAAUCUGAAAUCUUGCAAAAUAUCAGAAAGCAGUACUGCAGGAUGUGAGAAGCUUCCUGAAAAUCUGUUAGCUGCAAAUAAGCGCUAUACCAAGCAAAUAAUUAUGGGAUUAACUCCUGAAAAUUAAGCCUAUAUGACAUUCAUUUGACAGUUUUCUUUUUCCUCAACAUGCGACCAUUUCUCCCAUGUUCUUUUACUCUGGUGUUGGCUAGUAUUCAAAAUAGCAAGCCACUCCCAAUAUGUUUUAGGGGAUCUUGUAAAUGAAGAAAGUAAAGUGGGAAAGACAAGCAAUAAGAACAAUUCAAAUUUUUUUUUUUUGAAAAUCUCACUAUAUAUUCCAAAGGAAAUUAAAGUACAUACAUAAUAAGCAUGAAAAAAAUUUCUAUCUUAGGUUACGUUAAAUCAAAUUAAUGGCAUAAUUUGAUUCCACCGUAUUUUGAAAAGGAAAAACUUUUAAGUCGCUCAAAUUCCUCAGCCAAUAUCUACCUUUUCUGUUAAAUUGAGACAAGAAAGAUAUUGCUGGCAGGACCAGGGCGGACAAAUUAAGACCUGAAAUGGGCACAGAAGCAACUCAAAUCAAUCUGCUAUACUGUGCUACAGAACAUUACCCCACACACCCCAAAUAAGAAAAACGAAAACCGAAAAGAUAAGAGGACGAGGAGGCGUGGUGAGGUGGGGAAGAAAACAGGUAUAUGAAUGCAAAAACUUUUACUAAAUCAAAAAGAGGAGAGCUAAAAUGAAAGAAAGAGUUGAAAUCACGUAAAAUCACUUGAUUUCAACAAUUGCCUAGUCAAGACAUGGUUUGAAGCAUGAACUCACAAUAUGACCGCAAAAGCAAAAUUAAACCAAAACAUAAAAGAACAAAGAUACUAUAUAUUACCUUUCAAUUUCCACAGAGGCCAACUCUUAUGGAAAAGGUCCCCAAGAAAAUGACACUUAACCAUAGGGAUCCUUGUACUCCUUUGGGACUUAUUUUUAUCCCAUCUUCCCAUUUCCAAGAUCAGUAAUGAAUUUUGACAAGUUUCUGAAGUUCUAACUUAGGCUAAAGGUGGUAAGCCAGAUGAAGUUUAUGGCUUGUUAAGAUGUGUUAUCUCAUCUGUGUUUGGCAAUCCACUUUAUAUAGAGUAGAAUAGCAAGAAUGGAUAAGCACAAGAGCUUAAGCAAAAGAAGAUACGACAGUACACGUCAAUUACCAUUGAAAAACUAAAAUUUUCAAAUUUAGAAGCUUUGCAUGUGCAAGACGUGUAAACCAUGCUAAAAAGUUGAAGCCACCGGUAAGUUACACGUGAAACCAUUAUAAACUACACAUACACUCAACUUUAUCAUAAGAAGGCAAAUAUUCAAUACGUUGAGUUAAUUUCACUCAUUGUAACACUUAUACUGUUAAAGCACAAGAUCAAAAAACAAGAUAAGAACAUAAUGCUUACCAAUGAAAAAUCCAAAAAAAAAAUAAUAAUAAUAAUAAAAUCAAGGCUUAUGCAUGCACUAAACAUGUAAAAUAUCAGAAAAAUUAAAACCAAUAUGAAUUAUAUGAGCAAUUAUCUGCUGUAUAAGAAGAAUGGAACAUCCCACUAAGUUUACGUAAACGCUGAUUACACUAACCAAAUAAAAAUGAAAGAGAUGUAAAUGAAAAUAGAUGACAUAUUAUAUGGAAAGAGUAUAUUUAAGGAAAAUGCAUGCACAAGAUAUUAUCCAAUAACUUACUUUCAAACGCCGAUUCACUACAAACAACUCCAUAGUUGGAAAAUGUCAAUCAAAAAAUAAAAUGAUUUUCACAACUUUUCCUGUGCACCCAUGUUGUUUUAUCUCAAGAAUCUUAGUAAUGUCAAAUAUAUGUAUAAUUACAUUUGAAUGAAUAGCAAUUAGCACUAGCAUGCAUAUCGUGAAAGAUAGGACUCAAAGCCAACAAAACUUGCAUAAUUUUGCAAAUUGAGAUUCGUACUUCACCCCUUCCUCCUCCACAAGUAACUACAUUAUGUGGCAUAUUCAACUUAAGAAUGAUCUUUGUCUGUAACCUGCCUUAUUUCAACACCAAUAAUAACCGUGCGUUCAAGUUUCAUUCAAAAUUUCACAUUAACAUAACAACAAAAUCUCAUAGUCCUCAAAACGGCACACAAGCUACAGAGUAAGUACUCAACCCCUUAUCUGAUGUACAUAGCUUCAUCAUCAGCCAAGCUCAAGUUCACUACAGUGAAGCUCAUUUAAUCAACUUCAAGAGACCAAUAGCGUUGGUUUUGUUAUUGAAUACUCCACUAAGAUAGUCUUGUAAGCACAACACAAGAGCUAACUCAACCUUAGAAUCCCGGAAAUUAUUUAUAUUCUUCGAAUUCCAUUAGUUUCUUUGCCAAAUUGUUGCUAAAUUUGUAGCUUAAAGUUGACAGAAUUAGAGUAAUAAAUUGUGUUAGUUUUGAUGUUGUCAUUAGGUAUACCGAGAAAAUAUGUACAGGUGAUGCCUAAUCCGGUAUAUAAAAUUAAAGCACGUAAGAUUGAAUCGAGUAUGAUUUUAACAAUUUUAUCAACCGAAUCGCUAUAAAAAUCAUUAACACUAAAAUCCAGAAAAUGAAGGCACAAGAAAGAUAAAACGUCGCCGUAAAAUUAGUAGUAUGAAAACUGUGAUGUAUUUUUAAGCUUACCGGUCCGCAGAUCGCAGAUUUUUAGGCUUAAAAUGAAGCAUCCAUUCCAAUGCUGACUGCUGAGUUUGAACAGUGAUCGAUGAUUCAGUUGUUUUAAUAUUUCAGCUACGAUAAGAGAAGUUUUUAAAUCCCUCUAAAUUUCGUAUAAAUCCUCCUCUUUAAGUGAAAUUACCUAAAUAACCAUAGAUAAAUUCUUU